Molecule: ribosomal RNA, 515 nt
Filed under: uncultured bacterium
Lineage: Bacteria
Description: partial 16S ribosomal RNA
Rfam family: Bacterial small subunit ribosomal RNA
Source: RNAcentral
GAUGAACGCUGGCGGCGUGCCUAAUACAUGCAAGUCGAGCGAAUGGAUUAAGAGCUUGCUCUUAUGAAGUUAGCGGCGGACGGGUGAGUAACACGUGGGUAACCUGCCCAUAAGACUGGGAUAACUCCGGGAAACCGGGGCUAAUACCGGAUAACAUUUUGAACAGCAUGGUUCGAAAUUGAAAGGCGGCUUCGGAUGUCCCUUAUGGCUGGACCCGCGUCGCCUUAGCUAGUUGGUGAGGUAACGGCUCACCAAGGCAACGAUGCGUAGCCGACCUGAGAGGGUGAUCGGCCACACUGGGACUGAGACACGGCCCAGACUCCUACGGGAGGCAGCAGUAGGGAAUCUUCCGCAAUGGACGAAAGUCUGACGGAGCAACGCCGCGUGAGUGAUGAAGGCUUUCGGGUCGUAAAACUCUGUUGUUAGGGAAGAACAAGUGCUAGUUGAAUAAGCUGGCACCUUGACGGUACCUAACCAGAAAGCCACGGCUAACUACGUGCCAGCAGCCGCCGUAA